Molecule: ribosomal RNA, 245 nt
Filed under: uncultured bacterium
Lineage: Bacteria
Description: partial 16S ribosomal RNA
Rfam family: Bacterial small subunit ribosomal RNA
Source: RNAcentral
UACGUAGGGGGCAAGCGUUAUUCGGAAUCACUGGGCGUAAAGGGAGCGUAGGUGGAUCUAUAAGUUAGAAGUUUAAUUCGCAGGCUUAACCUGCGUGUGGCUUCUAAUACUGUAGGUCUUGAGUAUGAAAGAGGGAGAUGGAAUUCCAGGUGUAGCGGUGGAAUGCGUAGAUAUCUGGAAGAACACCAGCAGCGAAGGCGGUCUCCUGGUUCAAUACUGACACUGAGGCUCGAAAGUUAGGGGAG